AAACGGGUGCGGAACACGUACGCAACUUACCCAUAACAGGGGGAUAGCCCGGGGAAACCCGGAUUAAUACCUCGUAAGAUAUGGUGGUGGCAUCACCAUUAUAUUAUAGCUGAGGCGGUUAUGGAUGGGCGUGUGGCUGAUUAGGUAGUUGGCGGGGCAACGGCCCACCAAGCCUACGAUCAGUAACUGGUGUGAGAGCACGACCAGUCACACGGGCACUGAGACACGGGCCCG
This 234-nucleotide ribosomal RNA is filed under the name uncultured bacterium. RNAcentral describes it as "partial 16S ribosomal RNA". It matches the Rfam family "Bacterial small subunit ribosomal RNA", at positions 101 to 334 of the family's 1533-position model. The record is from RNAcentral.